Molecule: ribosomal RNA, 489 nt
Filed under: uncultured bacterium
Lineage: Bacteria
Description: partial 16S ribosomal RNA
Rfam family: Bacterial small subunit ribosomal RNA
Source: RNAcentral
AUUGAACGCUGGCGGCAGGCCUAACACAUGCAAGUCGAACGGUAACAGGAAGCAGCUUGCUGCUUUGCUGACGAGUGGCGGACGGGUGAGUAAUGUCUGGGAAACUGCCCGAUGGAGGGGGAUAACUACUGGAAACGGUAGCUAAUACCGCAUAACGUCGCAAGACCAAGAGGGGGACCUUAGGGCCUCUUGCCAUCGGAUGUGCCCAGAUGGGAUUAGCUAGUAGGUGGGGUAACGGCUCACCUAGGCGACGAUCCCUAGCUGGUCUGAGAGGAUGACCAGCCACACUGGAACUGAGACACGGUCCAGACUCCUACGGGAGGCAGCAGUGGGGAAUAUUGCACAAUGGGCGCAAGCCUGAUGCAGCCAUGCCGCGUGUAUGAAGAAGGCCUUCGGGUUGUAAAGUACUUUCAGCGGGGAGGAAGGGAGUAAAGUUAAUACCUUUGCUCAUUGACGUUACCCGCAGAAGAAGCACCGGCUAACUCCGUG